CUUGGUAAUACAGAUGAGCUCCUCAUUUCCCCACUCUUUCGAAAUCAUCUUCCCCACCACUUCUGAGUAAC
Unclassified non-coding RNA from Carlito syrichta (Philippine tarsier), 71 nucleotides. Lineage: Eukaryota; Metazoa; Chordata; Mammalia; Primates; Tarsiidae. The record is from Ensembl.